UACAGAGGGUGCAAGCGUUGUUCGGAAUUACUGGGCGUAAAGCGCACGUAGGCGGCCUCAAAAGUCGGAUGUGAAAUCCCGUGGCUCAACCAUGGACGUGCAUUCGAAACUGCGAGGCUUGAGUAUGGAAGAGGGUCGCGGAAUUCCCGGUGUAGAGGUGAAAUUCGUAGAUAUCGAGAGGAACACCUGCGGCGAAGGCGGGUUGCUGGGCUGACACUGACGCUGAGGCGCGAAAGCCAGGGGAGCGAACGGG
RNAcentral lists this ribosomal RNA (253 nucleotides) under uncultured bacterium. Its description in RNAcentral is "partial 16S ribosomal RNA". It matches the Rfam family "Bacterial small subunit ribosomal RNA", at positions 524 to 776 of the family's 1533-position model. The record is from RNAcentral.